Molecule: ribosomal RNA, 649 nt
Filed under: Bacillus sp. 112
Lineage: Bacteria; Bacillati; Bacillota; Bacilli; Caryophanales; Bacillaceae
Description: bacterial SSU rRNA
Rfam family: Bacterial small subunit ribosomal RNA
Source: RNAcentral
UAUCAUGCAAGUCGAGCGAAUGGAUUAAGAGCUUGCUCUUAUGAAGUUAGCGGCGGACGGGUGAGUAACACGUGNGUAACCUGCCCAUAAGACUGGNAUAACUCCGGGAAACCGGGGCUAAUACCGGAUAACAUUUUGAACNGCAUGGUUCGAAAUUGAAAGGCGGCUUCGGCUGUCACUUAUGGAUGGACCCGCGUCGCAUUAGCUAGUUGGUGAGGUAACGGCUCACCAAGGCAACGAUGCGUAGCCGACCUGAGAGGGUGAUCGGCCACACUGGGACUGAGACACGGCCCANACUAAUACGGGAGGCAGCAGUAGGGAAUCUUCCGCAAUGGACGAAAGUCUGACGGAGCAACGCCGCGUGAGUGAUGAAGGCUUUCGGGUCGUAAAACUCUGUUGUUAGGGAAGAACAAGUGCUAGUUGAAUAAGCUGGCACCUUGACGGUACCUAACCAGAAAGCCACGGCUAACUACGUGCCAGCAGCCGCGGUAAUACGUAGGUGGCAAGCGUUAUCCGGAAUUAUUGGGCGUAAAGCGCGCGCAGGUGGUUUCUUAAGUCUGAUGUGAAAGCCCACGGCUCAACCGUGGAGGGUCAUUGGAAACUGGGAGACUUGAGUGCAGAAGAGGAAAGUGGAAUUCCAUGUGUAGCG